UACGUAGGGGGCAAGCGUUGUCCGGAUUUAUUGGGCGUAAAGAGCGUGUAGGCGGCCAGACAGGUCAGCUGUGAAAACUCGAGGCUCAACCUCGAGACGUCGGUUGAAACCGUCUGGCUAGAGUCCGGAAGAGGAGAGUGGAAUUCCCGGUGUAGCGGUGAAAUGCGCAGAUAUCGGGAAGAACACCCGUGGCGAAGGCGGCUCUCUGGGACGGUACUGACGCUGAUACGCGAAAGCGUGGGGAGCGAACAGG
Molecule: ribosomal RNA, 253 nt
Filed under: uncultured bacterium
Lineage: Bacteria
Description: partial 16S ribosomal RNA
Rfam family: Bacterial small subunit ribosomal RNA
Source: RNAcentral